UGGGGAAUAUUGGACAAUGGGCGAAAGCCUGAUCCAGCCAUGCCGCGUGAGUGAUGAAGGCCCUAGGGUUGUAAAGCUCUUUCACCGGUGAAGAUAAUGACGGUAGCCGGAGAAGAAGCCCCGGCUAACUUCGUGCCAGCAGCCGCGGUAAUACGAAGGGGGCUAGCGUUGUUCGGAAUUACUGGGCGUAAAGCGCACGUAGGCGGAUUGUUAAGUCGGGGGUGAAAUCCCGGGGCGCAACCCCGGAACUGCCUUCGAUACUGGCAAUCUAGAGUCCGGAAGAGGUGAGUGGAAUUCCGAGUGUAGAGGUGAAAUUCGUAGAUAUUCGGAGGAACACCAGUGGCGAAGGCGGCUCACUGGUCCGGUACUGACGCUGAGGUGCGAAAGCGUGGGGAGCAAACA
RNAcentral lists this ribosomal RNA (402 nucleotides) under uncultured bacterium. RNAcentral's name for it is "bacterial SSU rRNA". It matches the Rfam family "Bacterial small subunit ribosomal RNA", at positions 355 to 774 of the family's 1533-position model. The record is from RNAcentral.